This 245-nucleotide ribosomal RNA is filed under the name uncultured Sedimentibacter sp. RNAcentral describes it as "partial 16S ribosomal RNA". It matches the Rfam family "Bacterial small subunit ribosomal RNA", at positions 796 to 1041 of the family's 1533-position model. The record is from RNAcentral. Lineage: Bacteria; Bacillati; Bacillota; Tissierellia.
CACGCUGUAAACGAUGAGUGCUAGGUGUUGGGUAGCGAUAUUCAGUGCCGAAGUAAACACAAUAAGCACUCCGCCUGGGGAGUACGGUCGCAAGACUAAAACUCAAAGGAAUUGACGGGGACCCGCACAAGCAGCGGAGCAUGUGGUUUAAUUCGAAGCAACGCGAAGAACCUUACCAAGGCUUGACAUCCCCUUGACCGGCACAGAGAUGUGCCCUCUCCUUCGGGAGCAAGGGUGACAGGUGG